This 98-nucleotide non-coding RNA is filed under the name unclassified sequences. The record is from Rfam.
UUUGGUUUCUUGCUUCCAUAAAGAGCAAGUGGUGCGGAUGGGACUCUCUCCCGCCUGGUUUCCAAUUUCCAGUCAAAGAAUUGGUGGCGAGCCUGAAU